AACGUAGGGGGCAAGCGUUGCCCGGAUUCACUGGGCGUAAAGCGGGUGUAGGCGGUCCGUUAAGUCAGAUGUGAAAUCCAGCGGCCCAACCGCUGAAUUGCAUCUGAUACUGAUGGACUUGAGGACGGUAGAGGUCGGUGGAAUUCCCGGUGUACCGGUGAAAUGGGCAGAUAUCGGGAGGAACACCAGUGGCGAAGGCGGCCGACUGGGCCGAUCCUGACGCUGAGACCCGAAAGCCAGGGUAGCGAACCGG
Molecule: ribosomal RNA, 253 nt
Filed under: uncultured bacterium
Lineage: Bacteria
Description: partial 16S ribosomal RNA
Rfam family: Bacterial small subunit ribosomal RNA
Source: RNAcentral